Molecule: ribosomal RNA, 496 nt
Filed under: uncultured bacterium
Lineage: Bacteria
Description: partial 16S ribosomal RNA
Rfam family: Bacterial small subunit ribosomal RNA
Source: RNAcentral
GAUGAACGCUGGCGGCGUGCCUAAUACAUGCAAGUCGAGCGAACAGACGAGGCUCUUGCUCCUUUGACGUUAGGGGCGGACGGGUGAGUAACGCGUGGGUAACCUACCUAUAAGACUGGGAUAACUUCGGGAAACGGGAGCUAAUACCGGAUAAUCUUUCGAACCGCAUGGUUCGUUAGUGAAAGAUGGCUUUGCGGUCACUUAUAGAUGCACCUGCGCCGUUUUAGUUGGUUGGGAGGGUAACGGCUUACCAAGGCAAUGAUAGCUAGCCGACGUGAGGGGGGGUACGCGACAAUGGGACUGGGACCAGGCCCAGGCUCCUAAGGGAGGGCGCAGUGGGGAAUCGUGCGCAAUGGGGGGAAAGGUGACGCAACAACGGCGCGUGGGGGGAGGAAGCCUUGCGGGUGUAAAACCCUUUUAGGAGGGACAAAGCUUAGGCGGUGGAAAGGCGGCAGGACUGACGGCAACUUCACAAGAAGCCCCGGCUAACUACGUG